Molecule: ribosomal RNA, 1272 nt
Filed under: human gut metagenome
Description: bacterial LSU rRNA
Rfam family: Bacterial large subunit ribosomal RNA
Source: RNAcentral
GGUGCCCGUACCGCAAACCGACACAGGUAGGUAGGAAGAAGAUUCUAAGGCCAACGGGAGAAGGGUUGUUAAGGAACUCGGCAAAUUGACCCCGUAACUUCGGGAGAAGGGGUGCUCCAGAGAUGGAGCCGCAGAGAAUCGGCCCAAGCAACUGUUUACCAAAAACACAGGUUUGUGCUAAAUCGAAAGAUGACGUAUACGAGCUGACGCCUGCCCGGUGCUGGAAGGUUAAAAGGAGAUGUGCAAGCAUUGAAUUGAAGCCCCAGUGAACGGCGGCCGUAACUAUAACGGUCCUAAGGUAGCGAAAUUCCUUGUCAGGUAAGUUCUGACCCGCAUGAAAGGCGUAAUGAUUUGGGCACUGUCUCAACAGCCCGCCCGGCGAAAUUGUAGUACCGGUGAAGAUGCCGGUUACCCGCGACAAGACGGAAAGACCCCAUGGAGCUUUACUGUAGCCUAAUAUUGGGUUUCGAUGUUGCAUGCACAGGAUAGAUGGGACACUGGGAAGCAGGUGCUUUGGCGCUUGUGGAGUGGCCGUUGGGAUACCAUCCUUGCGAUAUUGGAAUUCUAACCUGCGCCUUUGAAUCAAGGCGGGGGACAUUGUUAGGUGGGCAGUUUGACUGGGGCGGUCGCCUCCUAAAGAGUAACGGAGGCGUUCAAAGGUUCGCUCAGCUUGAACGGAAAUCAAGCAAAAGAGUGCAAACGCAGAAGCGAGCCUAACUGCGAGACUGACGGGUCGAGCAGUAACGAAAGUUGGAGUUAGUGAUCCGGUGGUAUGUGAGUGGAAAUGCCAUCGCUCAACGGAUAAAAGCUACCCUGGGGAUAACAGGCUGAUCUCCCCCAAGAGUCCACAUCGACGGGGAGGUUUGGCACCUCGAUGUCGGCUCAUCGCAUCCUGGGGCUGUAUUCGGUCCCAAGGGUUUGGCUGUUCGCCAAUUAAAGCGGUACGCGAGCUGGGUUCAGAACGUCGUGAGACAGUUCGGUCCCUAUCUGUCGUGGGCGCAGGAUAUUUGAUGGGAGCUGUCCCUAGUACGAGAGGACCGGGACGGACGUACCUCUGGCGCACCAGUUGUUCCGCCAGGAGCAUAGCUGGGCAACUACGUACGGAUCGGAUAAACGCUGAAAGCAUCUAAGCGUGAAGCCGACCCAAAGAUAAGAUAUCCCAUUGUUUCAAACAAGUAAGACCCCUUGAAGACUACAAGGUUGAUAGGCACGAUGUGUAAGUGGAGCGAUCCAUUCAGCAAGCGUGUACUAAUAGGUCGAGGGCUUGACCAC